RNAcentral lists this ribosomal RNA (258 nucleotides) under uncultured bacterium. RNAcentral's name for it is "partial 16S ribosomal RNA". It matches the Rfam family "Bacterial small subunit ribosomal RNA", at positions 335 to 586 of the family's 1533-position model. The record is from RNAcentral.
CACCUACGGGGCGCAGCAGUAGGGAAUCUUCCACAAUGGGCGCAAGCCUGAUGGAGCAACACCGCGUGAGUGAAGAAGGGCUUCGGCUCGUAAAACUCUGUUGUUGGAGAAGAACGUGCGUGAGAGUAAAUGUUUACGCAGUGACGGUAUCCAACCAGAAAGUCACGGCUAACUACGUGCCAGCAGCCGUGGUAAUACGUAGGGGGUAAGCGUUAACCGGAUUUGUUGGGCGUAAAGCGAGCGCAGGCGGCUGCUCUG